GCCUGGGUGGCUCAGUCAGUUGAGCAUCUGACUUUGGCUCAGGUCAUGAUCUCACAGUUUGUGAGUUUGAGCCCCACAUUGGGCU
This 85-nucleotide transfer RNA is filed under the name Felis catus (domestic cat). It matches the Rfam family "tRNA". Rfam says of the family: Transfer RNA (tRNA) molecules are approximately 80 nucleotides in length. RNAcentral also lists the same sequence under 2 other names. Lineage: Eukaryota; Metazoa; Chordata; Mammalia; Carnivora; Felidae. The record is from Rfam by way of RNAcentral.